GAAAUGCGAUAAGUAAUGUGAAUUGCAGAAUUCAGUGAAUCAUCGAAUCUUUGAACGCACCUUGCGCUCCUUGGUAUUCCUUGGAGCAUGCCUGUUUGAGUAUCAUGAAAUCUUCAAAGUAAAUCUUUUGUUAACUCAAUUGGUUUCUACUUUGGUAUUGGAGGUCUUUGCAGCUUCACACCUGCUCCUCUUUGUUCAUUAGCUGGAUCUCAGUGUUAUGCUUGGUUCCACUCGGCGUGAUAAGUUAUCUAUCGCUGAGGACACUGUAAAAGGUGGCCAAGGUAAAUGCAGAUGAACCGCUUCUAAUAGUCCAUUGACUUGGACAAUACUUUUAUGAUCUGAUCUCAAAUCAGGUAGGACUACCCGAUGAAAUUAAG
RNAcentral lists this unclassified non-coding RNA (377 nucleotides) under plant metagenome. RNAcentral's name for it is "partial contains 5.8S ribosomal RNA, internal transcribed spacer 2, and large subunit ribosomal RNA". The stretch from base 1 to 105 matches the Rfam family "5.8S ribosomal RNA", at positions 50 to 154 of the family's 154-position model. The record is from RNAcentral.